GACGAACGCUGGCGGCGUGCUUAACACAUGCAAGUCGAACGGAAAGGCCCUGCUUUUGUGGGGUGCUCGAGUGGCGAACGGGUGAGUAACACGUGAGUAACCUGCCCUUGACUUUGGGAUAACUUCAGGAAACUGGGGCUAAUACCGGAUAGGAGCUCCUGCUGCAUGGUGGGGGUUGGAAAGUUUCGGCGGUUGGGGAUGGACUCGCGGCUUAUCAGCUUGUUGGUGGGGUAGUGGCUUACCAAGGCUUUGACGGGUAGCCGGCCUGAGAGGGUGACCGGCCACAUUGGGACUGGGAUACGGCCCAGACUCCUACGGGAGGCAGCAGUGGGGAAUAUUGCACAUGGGCGGAAGCCUGAUGCAGCAACGCCGCGUGCGGGAUGACGGCCUUCGGGUUGUAAACCGCUUUCGCCUGUGACGAAGCGUGAGUGACGGUAAUGGGUAAAGAAGCACCGGCUAACUACGUG
Molecule: ribosomal RNA, 467 nt
Filed under: uncultured bacterium
Lineage: Bacteria
Description: partial 16S ribosomal RNA
Rfam family: Bacterial small subunit ribosomal RNA
Source: RNAcentral